Molecule: long non-coding RNA, 692 nt
Organism: Vombatus ursinus (common wombat)
Lineage: Eukaryota; Metazoa; Chordata; Mammalia; Diprotodontia; Vombatidae
Exons: 3
Source: RefSeq, a predicted model, not a curated record
CCUUCCAGGAGGCCAGACUCGCAGCCCGGGGCUCCGGGGGCGGCUCGAGGGUCUGAGCCAGCGCGUACUUUGCUGAGCACUGGGGAGACACAGAAAAUGAAAGCCAAGCAGUCCUGCCUCCCAAGGAGCUCCUGGUCUGGUGGGGGAGGAACACCCCAACAACUAUGUGCAGGAUCAUCUCAAGAAUGAACACAAGCAAGGAACAACCCUUUUCUCUUGCCAAGAUCUGUAGAGCGUUAGCUAAAGCUCAGCCUGAAAAGCAGGGGUGCAGGGCACCAAAAUCUCAGUGACUCUGCUUCUGAUUUUAACAUCCAGCAGUUGGUGUUUUUAAUUAUCUGUUCUUUGUCCUGGAAUUUUACGCUGGAUCGGGAUGAGUUUUUACUUCAGCGGCAAGAUUGCUCCAUCAAAGGACAUUUCUUCUCACCCUGACAGAGUUGUGGUUUUAAACCAAUAAGGAAUCCAUUAACGUGCAGCCACAAUGAAGAAAAUCACAUGUUGAAUUUAUCAUAGUCAUAUCAUAAAAGGAAAAACAGGCUGCAUAUAAUAGAGAUCUUUAGAUUCGUGUAGCGUCCUCUUUUUUUCUCUUCUACUUUGUAUACAGAAGUGCUCAUUUUAUUUGGUGUUUGUUCAGAAUUUUAAAGAAACGCUUUUCGAAAUUUCCUCAGUGAUGACAGUUACAACGUCCAAGAAUU